RNAcentral lists this ribosomal RNA (448 nucleotides) under uncultured bacterium. RNAcentral describes it as "bacterial SSU rRNA". It matches the Rfam family "Bacterial small subunit ribosomal RNA", at positions 355 to 825 of the family's 1533-position model. The record is from RNAcentral.
UGGGGAAUCUUGGACAAUGGGCGCAAGCCUGAUCCAGCCAUGCCGCGUGGAUGAUGAAGGCCUUAGGGUUGUAAAAUCCUUUUCGCCGAGGACGAUAAUGACGGUACUCGGAGAAGAAGCUCCGGCUAACUUCGUGCCAGCAGCCGCGGUAAUACGAAGGGGGCUAGCGUUGUUCGGAUUUACUGGGCGUAAAGCGCGUGUAGGCGGGUCGUUAAGUUGGGGGUGAAAUCCCGAGGCUCAACCUCGGAACUGCCUUCAAAACUGGCGACCUGGACCUAAGUAGAGGCAAGUGGAAUUGCGAGUGUAGAGGUGAAAUUCGUAGAUAUUCGCAGGAACACCAGUGGCGAAGGCGACUUGCUGGACUUAUGGUGACGCUGAGACGCGAAAGCGUGGGGAGCAAACAGGAUUAGAUACCCUCGUAGUCCCUGAGCGGGCUGGCAAGGCGCAU